This 282-nucleotide signal recognition particle RNA is filed under the name Saimiri boliviensis boliviensis (Bolivian squirrel monkey). RNAcentral's name for it is "Metazoan signal recognition particle RNA (ENSSBOG00000014379.1)". It matches the Rfam family "Metazoan signal recognition particle RNA". Rfam says of the family: The signal recognition particle (SRP) is a universally conserved ribonucleoprotein. It is involved in the co-translational targeting of proteins to membranes. The record is from RNAcentral. Lineage: Eukaryota; Metazoa; Chordata; Mammalia; Primates; Cebidae.
GCCAGGCACGUGCCUUUAGUUCCAGCUACUCCCGAGGCUGAGGUGGGAGGAUCAUUUGAGCCCAGGAGUUCUGGGCUAUAGUGCGCUAUUCAGAAUGGGUGUCCGCACUAAGUUUGGCAUCAAUAUGGUGACCUCCCAGCAGCAGGGGACCACCAGGUUGCCUAGGCAGGAGUGAACUGGCCCAGGUCGGAAAUGAAAACUGCCGUACUGAUCAGUAGUGGGAUUGUGCCUGUGAACAGCCACUGCACUCCAGCCUGGGCAACAUAGCGAGAUCCUGUCUCU